This 801-nucleotide ribosomal RNA is filed under the name uncultured Mycobacterium sp. RNAcentral's name for it is "bacterial SSU rRNA". It matches the Rfam family "Bacterial small subunit ribosomal RNA", at positions 567 to 1365 of the family's 1533-position model. Lineage: Bacteria; Bacillati; Actinomycetota; Actinomycetes; Mycobacteriales; Mycobacteriaceae. The record is from RNAcentral.
GCUCGUAGGUGGUUUGUCGCGUUGUUCGUGAAAACUCACAGCUUAACUGUGGGCGUGCGGGCGAUACGGGCAGACUAGAGUACUGCAGGGGAGACUGGAAUUCCUGGUGUAGCGGUGGAAUGCGCAGAUAUCAGGAGGAACACCGGUGGCGAAGGCGGGUCUCUGGGCAGUAACUGACGCUGAGGAGCGAAAGCGUGGGGAGCGAACAGGAUUAGAUACCCUGGUAGUCCACGCCGUAAACGGUGGGUACUAGGUGUGGGUUCCUUCCUUGGGAUCCGUGCCGUAGCUAACGCAUUAAGUACCCCGCCUGGGGAGUACGGCCGCAAGGCUAAAACUCAAAGGAAUUGACGGGGGCUCGCACAAGCGGCGGAGCAUGUGGAUUAAUUCGAUGCAACGCGAAGAACCUUACCUGGGUUUGACAUGCACAGGACGCCGGCAGAGAUGUCGGUUCCCUUGUGGCCUGUGUGCAGGUGGUGCAUGGCUGUCGUCAGCUCGUGUCGUGAGAUGUUGGGUUAAGUCCCGCAACGAGCGCAACCCUUGUCCUAUGUUGCCAGCGGGUUAUGCCGGGGGACUCGUAGGAGACUGCCGGGGUCAACUCGGAGGAAGGUGGGGAUGACGUCAAGUCAUCAUGCCCCUUAUGUCCAGGGCUUCACACAUGCUACAAUGGCCGGUACAAAGGGCUGCGAUGCCGUGAGGUGGAGCGAAUCCUUUCAAAGCCGGUCUCAGUUCGGAUCGGGGUCUGCAACUCGACCCCGUGAAGUCGGAGUCGCUAGUAAUCGCAGAUCAGCAACGCUGCGGUGA